CAGUAGCCGCGGGAAUACGGAGGGUGCAAGCGUUAAUCGGAAUUACUGGGCGUAAAGCGCACGCAGGCGGUCUGACAAGUCAGAUGUGAAAUCCCCGGGCUUAACCUGGGAACUGCAUUUGAAACUGGCAAGCUAGAGUCUUGUAGAGGGGGGUAGAAUUCCAGGUGUAGCGGUGAAAUGCGUAGAGAUCUGGAGGAAUACCGGUGGCGAAGGCGGCCCCCUGGACAAAGACUGACGCUCAGGUGCGAAAGCGUGGGGAGCAAACAGGAUUAGAUACCCCAGUAGUCCCUGUCUCUUAUAC
Molecule: ribosomal RNA, 301 nt
Filed under: uncultured bacterium
Lineage: Bacteria
Description: partial 16S ribosomal RNA
Rfam family: Bacterial small subunit ribosomal RNA
Source: RNAcentral